This 253-nucleotide unclassified non-coding RNA is filed under the name uncultured Bacteroidota bacterium. Its description in RNAcentral is "uncultured Bacteroidetes bacterium contains 16S-23S intergenic spacer region". It matches the Rfam family "Bacterial small subunit ribosomal RNA", at positions 524 to 776 of the family's 1533-position model. Lineage: Bacteria; Pseudomonadati; Bacteroidota. The record is from RNAcentral.
GACGUAGGGGGCGAGCGUUGUCCGGAAUCACUGGGUGUAAAGGGUGUGUAGGCGGGGCAGUUAGUCAUAGGUGAAAUCCUGCGGCUUAACCGUAGAAUUGCCUUUGAUACUGCUGUUCUUGAGUCCUGGAGAGGUCAUUGGAAUUCGUGGUGUAGCGGUGAAAUGCGUAGAUAUCACGAGGAACACCAGAGGUGUAGACGGAUGACUGGACAGGUACUGACGCUGAGGCACGAAAGCGUGGGGAGCAAACAGG